GGGAUGGGAUGGGGAUGGGGAUGGGGAUGGGGAUGGUAAUAGGGAUGGGGAUGGGGACGGGGACGGGGACGGGGAUGGAGCCCUCAUCACCAGCCUGCAGCUCCCGUGGUGCCUGGCUCAGGCUCCUCACCCCUCCCAGUGUCGGGGAGCUCAGGAUGGGGGGCACAGGGCAGGACCCAUCCCUCCUGUGACCCCCUCUCCUCUCCCCAUCCAGGCUCCAACAACGGUGCCCACACACAGGAGCUGGGUGCGAGCAGCCUGCACAGCCUGGAGACCCUGGAGGCGCCGGGGGCCGCGGCGGGGCCCCCCCCGGCCUCCCCCAGCACCGAGGCUCCCGGCCGGCCGCGCGCCCCCCCGGAGUCGUACCUGGUGGGCAGCCAGCAGCAGUGGCUGUCGCUGCGGCUGCGCGGGGCCCGGCGCUGGCGUGUGCCCGGCCUGCCCUGCAUGGCCAAGAGCCCCGAGGGCUGAGCAGCAAUAAAGUGCCCGCGGGGCAGAGCCGGGCUCCGGGCCUCUGUCCCCUUCCCCGUGGGGGGGGGGCCCGGGGGGGCACCCGGGGGGGGGGGGGGGGGGGCAGCCCCUGCCCUGGCUGUGGGAUCCUCCCCGUGCCCGUGGGGGUGUCCGAUGGGGACACCCGGUGUGUGCUGAGCCCGGCCCCGGUCCCGCUGUGCCCGAGGGGCUCCCCCAAGCCCGGUGCGGCUCUGGCCGUGCUCGCCCGGUGCUGCCCGGGGCCGGUGCGGGGUGUGGGGGGGUUCCCCAGGAGGGGGUCGGGGUCUGCACCGCGCCGCUGCCCACCCCCGGGAUCCCUCCGUGCCCCCGCGUCUCGUCUCUUUCUCCUCUCCCCCCCCCGCCUUGGUGCCGCCGUGCCCGGUACCGGGGGCUCCCGGCCCCCCGGUGCUCCCCGCGCCCGGUGCCGGCGGGACUACGGCUCCCAUCAUGCCGCCGCCGCCGCCGCCGCCCCCGGUCACUUCCUCCGCGCGGCGGGGCGGGGCGGGGUCGGGCCGAGCCCAGCGCCCCUUCCCCGUCCCGGUCCCCGUCCCCAUCCCGGUCCCGGUCCCGGUCCCCGUCCCGGUGCCGCCUCGGGCCCGGCCCCGCCGCGAUGUCCGCCACCAGCGCGGCCGAGCUGGGCGCCGCCGACCGCGCCCCCUUCGCCACGGGCCCGUGCCCGGCGGGCGCCGCGGAGGACGGGGCCGAGGAGCUGGCGGGGGCCGGGGGGGCGCUGCCCUGGGCCCCCCGCGAGAAGCAGCUGCACGAGGCGCGCCUCAAGGCCAAGGCCAAGCGGCGGCUGCGGCGCGCCUCGUCCCGGGACUCGGCCCGAGAGUCGCUGUCCGAGGGCGCCGAGCCCGGCCCCGAGCCCGGCAGCCCCAAGGGCAGGGCCCACGACCGCAAGUCCCGCAUGGGCAAGGGCCGCGGGCUGCCCAAGA
RNAcentral lists this long non-coding RNA (1421 nucleotides) under Anas platyrhynchos platyrhynchos (common mallard). RNAcentral's name for it is "lncRNA (ENSAPLG00000025502.1)". Lineage: Eukaryota; Metazoa; Chordata; Aves; Anseriformes; Anatidae. The record is from RNAcentral.